RNAcentral lists this long non-coding RNA (1047 nucleotides) under Strigops habroptila (Kakapo). RNAcentral's name for it is "lncRNA (ENSSHBG00005014115.1)". The record is from RNAcentral. Lineage: Eukaryota; Metazoa; Chordata; Aves; Psittaciformes; Psittacidae.
AUAAUCAAUUCAUCUUUAAUUAGCUUACCACAAAAAUUCCAUUAAAUUUAAAUAAAUAGACAUGGCAGGAGUUCUCCGAGGCACAGCAGGCUCCGUUUAAAGAAUUCUCUUUGAGUUCGUUAGGUUGGUCUUUAAUCAGUUUGUCGUCAAAGUCCUUGUGUGGCCCAAGCAGGAUCCUGGGCUGCUAAUAACGAGCAAUUGAAGCUGCAAGAGUUUCCCGGAUGGAUCCAGCCCGUGCCUGGCCAUGUGGCUGCAGUGUGUGCAUCGGUGCCAGCACUGAUGUCCUCUGGCAGGCAGUGGAGAGCAGGUCGGGUUUGGAAGUCCUGCCCUUGCCAGGAGAUCCUUUUUUCACUCAUUUCUCUUGAGUUUUCCAUCUGGGAGAAGAGAGGGAAGUGAGCAGGGCAAGGGCUUGUUUCCUGCCGGUUCAGUGAGCUCAAGUGGCCCCCAGGAGAUGGGAGCAGCCCUCUGAGAGGCAGAGGCUGCUCUGCCCCCAGCUCUCAAGUUCUCAUUUUUGGGGUCAUCUCUGCCUGCUCACCCCGUGCACGCUCUCAGCUCAGCACUGGGUGCUCCUGGGCUAGAGAUUUUCCAGGGCAGCAGUGACCUGCAGCAUCACCUGCUCCAGAGUCACGACACCAGCUUUGGAAUCAGCAGCUCUUGGGUUUUGCUGGUGUGGAGGAUGGUGGGGGAGAGGUGUCUGUUUCCUCCCAGAAUUGCUGGUCCUGCUGCAUCCCCGCUGCCUGCAGCUUCCUGCUCCAUGUCGGAGCAAUUCAGAGCUGAAUUCAGAGCCCCUCCUGCAUCCCACCACUGCUCCCACAGAGCCUGGGGACCCCGGGGCAGGCAGCAAGUGGAACGGGGAUCCUGGCUCCUGUGGGUAUGGGGGACACAGGGAAGGCAAUGAUGCACCAAGGGCAUCUUACACAAGCAAUGCUCCGAGCUCGCCCUGCACAAGUCACAUGCAAAGGCACCUCCUGAGCUCAUUCCCAUGUUGUUGUUAUUCCAUUUGGAGCUGUAGGAUUGGAUCCCUGCAGUGGUACAUUGACAAGCUUG